Molecule: ribosomal RNA, 494 nt
Filed under: uncultured bacterium
Lineage: Bacteria
Description: partial 16S ribosomal RNA
Rfam family: Bacterial small subunit ribosomal RNA
Source: RNAcentral
GACGAACGCUGGCGGCGUGCUUAACACAUGCAAGUCGAACGGUGAAGCGCCUUCCUUUUUGGUGGGUGUGGAUGAGUGGCGAACGGGUGAGUAACACGUUAGUAACCUGCCCCCUUCUUCUGGAUAACCGCAUGAAAGAGUUGCUAAUACGGGAUAUUCUGGGUCUGUCGCAUGAUGGGUCUGGGAAAGAUAUUGUUUCGGUGGGGGAUGGGCUCGCGGCCUAUCAGCUUGUUGGUGGGGUGAUGGCCUACCAAGGCGGUGAUGGAUAGCCGGCCUGAGGGGGUUGACGGUCACACUGGGACUGAGACACGGCCCAGCCUCCUACGAGAGGCAGCAGUGGGGAAUAUUGCACAAUGGGCGCAAGCAUGAUGCAGCGACGCCGCGUGAGGGAUGGAGGCCUUCGGGUUGUGAACCUCUUUCGCCAGUGAAGCAGGCCUGCCUCGUUUGUGGGUGGGUUGACGGUAGCUGGAGAAGAAGCGCCGGCUAACUACGUG